This 344-nucleotide long non-coding RNA is filed under the name Mytilus galloprovincialis (Mediterranean mussel). The record is from RNAcentral. Lineage: Eukaryota; Metazoa; Mollusca; Bivalvia; Mytilida; Mytilidae.
AAAAACAAGAAUGUGUCCUCAGUACACGAAUGCCCCACUCGCACUAUCAUUUUCCAUGUUCAGUGGACCGUGAAAUUGGGGUAAAAACUCUAAUUUGGCAUUAAAAUUAGAAAGAUCUUAUCAUAGGGGACAUGUGUACUAAGUUUGAAGUCGAUUGGACUUAAACUUCAUCAAAAACUACCUUGACCAAAAACUUUAACCUGAAGCGGGACAGACGGACGGACAAACGAACGGACAGACGGACGGACGAACGAACGGACGGACGAACGAACGGACGGACGGACGCACAGACCAGAAAACAUAAUGCCCCUAGGUGGGGCAUAAAAAUUGAAUUGUAAUUUCCU